RNAcentral lists this ribosomal RNA (465 nucleotides) under uncultured bacterium. RNAcentral's name for it is "partial 16S ribosomal RNA". It matches the Rfam family "Bacterial small subunit ribosomal RNA", at positions 28 to 507 of the family's 1533-position model. The record is from RNAcentral.
GACGAACGCUGGCGGCGUGCUUAACACAUGCAAGUCGAACGGAAAGGCCCUGCUUGCAGGGUACUCGAGUGGCGAACGGGUGAGUAACACGUGGGUGAUCUGCCCUGCACUUCGGGAUAAGCCUGGUCAACUGGGUCUAAUACCGGAUAGGAGCCAUUUUUAGUGUGAUGGUUGGAAAGUUUUUUGGGUGUAGGAUGAGCUCGCGGCCUAUCAGCUUGUUGGUGGGGUAAUGGCCUACCAAGGCGGCGACGGGUAGCCGGCCUGAGAGGGUGGACGGCCACAUUGGGACUGAGAUGCGGCACAGACUCCUACGGGAGGCAGCAGUGGGGAAGAUUGCACAAUGGGCGCAAGCCUGAUGCAGCGACGCCGCGUGGGGGAUGACGGCCUUCGGGUUGUAAACUCCUUUCGCUAGGGACGAAGCUUUUUGUGACGGUACCUAGACAAGAAGCACCGGCUAACUACGUG